GAAGCUUGACAUUUGCUUUUCAAAGUUAGGAAUUCUUCUUGAGUCGGUCCUUGAGAAGAACUAGUUGAAUCUUUUGAGUUUGAUGAACUUGGCCUUGUUGAUAUUAAUUGCAAAACCUUCUGUUGACAUACAAAAUCAUGAUUGAAUUUGUCCCACCAUUUGAUGCUGAAUUCUCUAGAAAGAGAUAAUGGAAAAGGAAGAGGUUGCUCUUGCUUCUUGAUGAUGUUCCAUGUGAGAAUCCAUGGAAUUCUUAAUCUUGAACAGAACGUCAGGAGUCUAGGCUGAUUGAUAUACUGUGAUGAAGUCUUGCUCUUAUAGAAGUUGAAUUUCUCUUGAAUAUCCGUAGGAAAUAUUGAAUCUAGUAGACCAAAGAAAGUCCACCAUUUUUGAAACCAAACCGUUCACAGGAAAUUCAACCCGAACUAAGUCAGGACUAAAUCAGUAGCGGCUGCUAAUGAAGCUUGACAUUUGCUUUUCAAAGUUAGGAAUUCUUCUUGAGUCAUUCCUCUGCUGUCAACAACUUGUAGUCAUCAGCUCUCUGUAAUCAAGGUAUAUUUUCAAUAAACAAUAUUUUCAGAUUCAAAUAUUUGUGUUAUUAUGCUUAAAUUUCUGCAAUAAAUUAGACAGUAUUAGACAUUAAAUAUUUCUGUUUUUAUGCUUGGAGUUAAUUAGACAGAUUUAAUUACUGCGUGCACGAACUGUUGUAUGUCCUGGGUACAAAUGGUAUCAGAGCCAUUUUCUGCUUGAGAACCGAGUGGUGUUACGAGUUGGAACAGUGAUUAAUCGCACAUUUAGUCCUGACUUAGUUCGGGUUGAAUUUCCUGUGAACGGUUUGGUCAGCCUGU
RNAcentral lists this long non-coding RNA (845 nucleotides) under Vitis vinifera (wine grape). RNAcentral's name for it is "long non-coding RNA (VVIN_LNC001122)". Lineage: Eukaryota; Viridiplantae; Streptophyta; Magnoliopsida; Vitales; Vitaceae. The record is from RNAcentral.